GGUAGAGUUGUCUGAGUUUUUGAUCUGGCUCAGAUUGAACGCUGGCGGCAUGCCUUACACAUGCAAGUCGAACGGCAGCAUAGGAGCUUGCUCCUGAUGGCGAGUGGCGAACGGGUGAGUAAUAUAUCGGAACGUGCCCUAGAGUGGGGGAUAACUAGUCGAAAGACUAGCUAAUACCGCAUACGAUCUACGGAUGAAAGUGGGGGAUCGCAAGACCUCAUGCUCCUGGAGCGGCCGAUAUCUGAUUAGCUAGUUGGUGGGGUAAAAGCCUACCAAGGCAACGAUCAGUAGCUGGUCUGAGAGGACGACCAGCCACACUGGGACUGAGACACGGCCCAGACUCCUACGGGAGGCAGCAGUGGGGAAUUUUGGACAAUGGGGGCAACCCUGAUCCAGCAAUGCCGCGUGAGUGAAGAAGGCCUUCGGGUUGUAAAGCUCUUUUGUCAGGGAAGAAACGGUAGUAGCGAAUAACUAUUACUAAUGACGGUACCUGAAGAAUAAGCACCGGCUAACUACGCAGCGUACUUGA
RNAcentral lists this ribosomal RNA (529 nucleotides) under uncultured Herbaspirillum sp. RNAcentral's name for it is "bacterial SSU rRNA". It matches the Rfam family "Bacterial small subunit ribosomal RNA", at positions 1 to 521 of the family's 1533-position model. Lineage: Bacteria; Pseudomonadati; Pseudomonadota; Betaproteobacteria; Burkholderiales; Oxalobacteraceae. The record is from RNAcentral.